UGGGUGAUCACUGCUGCAGGGUUUCU
RNAcentral lists this non-coding RNA (26 nucleotides) under Mus musculus (house mouse). The record is from RNAcentral. Lineage: Eukaryota; Metazoa; Chordata; Mammalia; Rodentia; Muridae.